This 5405-nucleotide long non-coding RNA is filed under the name Marmota monax (woodchuck). The record is from RNAcentral. Lineage: Eukaryota; Metazoa; Chordata; Mammalia; Rodentia; Sciuridae.
CUUGGUUUUUAUUGAAGAGAACCAUUAGAUAGAACAUUCCAUCCAAAAAAGGUAAAGGGUAGUAUUACAAAGGAAUGAGAAGGCAGCCCACUCCUAUUGGGUAAUGCCCAUUCCCAGAGCCUAGCUCCCCUGUGGAUCCACCUGUUUCCUGUGCAAGGGAAACCAGUCUCCACACCUCCACAGCUUAAGGCUAAGGGUGCUCAACUCCUAUAUGGCAGUUCCAACAUCUAUCAAUUUUGUAUCAUGUAAGAUCUGCAUGAGUUUGGAUCACUCCAAAUUUUCUCGUCCAGGGACUAAUUUUAAUACUCUUUGAAAUGACACACCUGUAAGUCAGGGGGUAGUGUCUAACUCUUGGUUUUGUGUUAUUCUCACUUAUGUUAGUGUUCUGUACUGAAGUAGCAGGACAUUUACAUCUUAUCCCGGUGUGCUCACAUGAUUCAUUCCUCUUCACUAAUUUGAUAGCAAAUUAACCCACAAGUCUCUCCAUUAUUUCCAUUUGAAAUUUAUUUCUUCCUCUCAAUAAGUUACAGCUUUUGGUAUUAUCUGAAACAUAUUUUUAUUAUAAUUCGCUUCUCAUAGUUAGAAUUGUUUCUAGUGAGUUCUUGUAAAAUUUAUGCAAAAUAUUUUCAUGGUAUGGUGCAUUUGUAAUUGUGCCUGCUGCAUAAUCAAGUAUAUUCAUGACUUAGGAAUUGAUUAAAACCCAAGCCCUCUGAUUACCAUUUUAUAUCUCUGGUGUAUGGAAGAAUUUUUGGUAGAUUAGCUUCUGGCUAUGACUAUUUCAAAACUUGUUUUCCCGGUUCACAUCCAGCACUAGAUGCUAUAGGACAUUAUAUUGUGAUAAGAAUCCUGUCCUUGUACCUGCUAUCAGAUAAGAUCAACAGAGAGGGUGAUAGGAAUAUUUUUAGAAGCUGUUCCUUUAACAGACAGGAGCUCAAAUAACACAUAGAAGAGACUGAUAACCAUAUAAAUACGUCCUUCUAAACCCAAACUGAAUAUACCUUCCUAACUCAAAUUCCCCAGACUGGAUUCUCAAAAAUGCUUGUGACCUACUCCAGUGCUACAGAACACGAGGAAAAGUAUGAUGCUGAAAACCGAGAGGAAGGAGUGAUCCUGUAAGUCAGCUAAAAUAUAUGAAUUUUUCAAAUUUGACAAAAAUAUAUGGCUAUGUGAAUAUAUAGCUAGAAUCCCUUCCAGGGCCUUGGAAGGGGCUGAUGUAAGAGAGGAGUCUUGAAGCUUUAGCUUCAUUAGCUCCCCUGAACAUUCACCUUUGAAGAGCAACCCAUUUCAUCCAGUACUCUGUAGUUUGGUGUGAUGAACUCUAGAAUCAGGCUCCUGGUGUCAACAAUUCGACACCACACUUUUCAUAGUACCUUAUGGAUCUUUGUCUAUCAGUACCACAUCUCUUAGACAUGGUGGUGCCCAACUUGCUAAUCAAAUAACACUUAGAGAAGAAAAUUUUAGUAAAAGAGAGGAAAAGAGAAGAAAAAAUAAAAAGAUGGGAGAAUGAAGAGUAAAAGGUCAAGAAAGAGGUUUAUGUGAUAAGAUAAGAAGCCAUUAAGCCAGGAAAUAACAUAAACUUCAGCUGUCAAGGUCAUAAAGCAUUGACUGACCUUGUCCAGCCGAUGCCGAAGUCCACCUGCACAUCGCUUUAGCCACAUAAGCUUACUGGGUGCCACAGUAGAUGUUUCUAACUUACUGGCAGUGGCCUGUAUCAAAGCUCUCUCUUGUUUUUGCCUGAGGGCUUUUUCCAGCAUCAGAGAGCUCAUUCACCAACUGGACGUUCGGGGUGGGUGGUCGACCCUUACCUCAGGGAUGGGAGUUGGUAGAUAAAUACCCCAGAUAUUGGGCUUUUGGUGGAAUUCUUUUCCUUUUUUAAAUUUUAAAUUCUUUUUAGAAAUCAUGAAAGUAGAAUGUAUUUUGACAGAUUAUACAUGGAAUAUAUAUAUAUAUAUAUGUAUGUAUAUAUAUAUAUAUAUAUAUAUAUAUAUGUAUAUAUAUAAAACUCAUUUUAAUUAGGAUCUUAUUCUUGUGGUUGAACAUGAUGUGGAGUUACACUGGUUGGUGGAAUGCUUCUGAGUUGAGUUCCACAGGAUUUUUCUGAGGAUCCCAGAGGAACUGAGCACCAGGUGCCCACAGAGAUGGCCCCCUCGUUAAGUCACUCACUUAUUGGCAUCUUUCCUUUCCAUGGCUCCCUUUCCCCACUCCCUGAGAUAACCUCUCAAACUACCCAAACUCAAUUCUUGUCUCAGGACAAAGUGGUUUGAAGCCUCACAAAUCAAGACACCUGGUUUAAGUCAUGUGCAAGUAAUUUAUGGUAAGUGUAAGCUAAAUAUUAAAAUACAAAAAACGUGGAAUAUGGUGUUUAAAGGAAAUAAACAAUUUGGAGAUACCAAAAUAACUUAUUAAAAUAACUUAUUUUUGUGUUACAGGCAUCUGUUUAAAGAUAAUACAGAUCUGCAGAAACUAAUUUAGUUUCUAUGGGAAGAUAAAAAAGAACUGAAUUAUUGCAUUCAGGUCUUUAAAAUUCUCUUGCGUUUAUAUUCCAUCUCUGGCUUAUUAAAGGGAUCUGUGCUCUGUUAACAUACACAUGUGCUUACAAUAUAAACAGCUUAACUAGACAUCUGCGUUGACUACAUAGAAGAGGCAGUUAACUUUUUGCCUUGUUUCUGUUCAAUGAUCUUGAUAUUUUAGCCUGUUGGCCAGAUGAAACAAGAUCAUUUUUUUGAUACCAGAUGUGUCACAGUUUGGGCUUACAUUUUGCAGGUGCUCCCCCCAGCUGGGAAGAUGGAAAUUUGCCAUCUCUCAGGGAUGAUGAUUCAGGAUAGAAAUAUAAGUGUGUUAAAAAUAAUUCAACAUAUUAAUGGAGGGCUUUGUCCCUUGUGGGCUGCUUAUGCAUAACAUAUGAGCAGACCAGCAGCUGUUCUAUAUUUUAAAAGGAAAGUUAGAAAGUUAGAUGCAUACAGAGCUAUUCAAAACAUAAGCAACUGCUUGAAGUCAUGGAAACAAGAUUCAACAAUAACCUUUUAUUUGUGAAGCUUCCCAAGAAAUAAUAAUCCCACCGGGCUGUGUUCAGGUGGUCUCAGGGCAUUGAACAGUUGUUCUGUUCCAUCAUUUGGAUUCACUCCAUCUCCCUUAUAUAGUGGUAGAGAUACUACCUUUAUUAGAUAUGGGGAUUGGUUUCUAGCUGAUUUCUACUAUCCAAUAUUUAAUCAUGAUUUUAAAAGUACCUAUUUGUUUUUUUCCCCUUUUCACUUAAAUAUAUUGUGAAAGACCUAAAAGGUCUUUUAUGAUGAACUUGUCAAUUGUGAUAUCGUAUUCCAGCCGGUAAAGUAAGAAGCCUUAGCAGAUAAUGUUCAUUGUACCUAUUUUUUUCUUCAAGAACACUUAAGAUUAAUAAUAUGAACCAACAUCAAGGAAUGACACUAUUCUUCACAUUCACACCUUGUCUUACACUGAUUCCGAUGGCAGGAAGGACUCCAUAAGCCUUUUUGUCCAGCUCCUGGACCAGGACAGUGUUAGACCCACUCCAUAUUCACCACUCUGUCUCUCAAAGCCCACCCCGUCAUCCCCAGCUCCUUUUGGAUCUCUAGUAAUAGACUCUUCUUUUCUUUUGGAAAUUGCUGUUCUCUCAACUAUAGUAAGGUCUACAUGAUUGGUCCUUGCAUUUCAAUUUGUAGAGCUCAAGAAUAUUUUACGUAACAUAUUUCUCUUUCUCUGGAGUUAAAAGAACAAAUCAACUACAGUUCUUGAGAGUCUGUCUCUCUUGGGUCGGUAUCUGUGUUAUUUCAACUCAACUACAUGUGACAGUAGCAGUGACCACUGGUCAUGUAACCAGCAAGGUCUAUCCAUGACACGGAGUGAACAUUUUAUAGGAAAUAUAGCAUUUUAUAGGAAGAAGUUUGGAAGGAAAGGGAUUGCCUGACGGUGUUGGAAUCUGGAGUGUGGCCAAGGAAAAGUGCUCCAAUUUAAAUCUUAGGACCUGUGUUCUAGGCAUCGUGCUCUUGCUUAACAAACUGCAACCCUGAGCAAGCCUUAAAAACAAGAUGGCGUCUAAGUUCUAGAAUCCUGUUUUAUUACUAUGAUUAUUAAAAGGAAAGGUGUGUAACAGGAGAGAUUUUGCUUGGAGGAAAUGGUGACUGCAAGUUGUCAAAGUACUUUUGCAGGGGUGGGGAGUUGGCAGCUGAGGGAAGUCAUCCUCUUUUUGAGAUGGCCUAAUCUCCAUCAGGCCUUGCCUAACCAGUCAGAAAACAAUUCCACCUUACCUGGAGAGCACCGAAGUCUCAGAGCCCAGGCCAGGGGCAUUGGGAUGGAGAGUGGUGGAAAUGUCUAGGAAAGUUCUCAUUACACUAAGGCUCACCGAGUAGGCAUUUCCCAGAAGCAUGUUUGAAGUGUGGGAACCCAUGACUGGCCCUUUUUUCCAUUGGUGAAACAAGGUAAAAUGACUUUCAAUUUAACAUGAGUAAUUAUAUUUCAGUAUCAGCAGAAAGUAACAAAAAUGUAAUUUUACAGAGUAAAUACUAAAAAAAGAAAGGUAUUUUGAAUUGUAAUUUAAAAACUUAGAGCUGAAUUGGAUUAUUUAUUGUGUCUUCAUCCUCAAUAAUGAACCCACAUUGUUGAAGAUCUGGUUUAGGGUGGGAACUGUUAAUAUUUUUUUCUUCUGCCAAUGUCCAAUAUUCAAAGAAUACUCAGGUGCUUUCAAAGAUUUGGUAAAUAGAACUAUAUCUUCUCUGAGUGCAUCCUUGGGGUAGGACUUAUAAAAACUUAGUUUUACAAGCUGGAAAAACAUCUUGUUUCAACAUCCUGGUUUUGUAGAUAAAGAAUCAUAAAGAAUCCAAGAUUUUGAGUGACUUUACUAAGGUCUCUCUACUGGUAAUAAGAGAAAAGAGACUAAGAAUCGUGGUUCUUUAGGAUGACAUCACACUGUUAGAUUAGCAGAGACAUUUAUCAAUGAAUGUUGACAAAAAAAGAUAGAUUCUGACAAUGAAUUAUUUUUCUAUGAUUUCCAUCUAUGAGAGCUGGUUUAAAUCAACCAUUUCUAAGGAUGACAAAAGGAAGGAGUCUUGUGUAGUCUGAAAGAAAAGCAGAACUUUGUCUUACUGAUUUGGUUUAUUUUUAGUCAUUUAUUUUGAAUUUCAAGUUGCAUUUAAAGAGAACAUGAUGGAAUCUCCCUGCCAUUUCCCUUUCUAUCUCUUCCCCCUCUUCCUUAUUUUGGAUUAGCUUCUGCAUAUCAGAUAAAACAUUCAACUUUUAGCUUUCCGGGUCUGGCUUAUUUUGGUUAGUAUUAUAGCCUCCAGGUCUAUCCAUUUAUGAUCAAAUGCCGUAAUUUCAUUCUUUAUGACUGAGUAAUACUGCAUUGUGUAUAAAACCCACAUUUUCUUUAUCCAUUCACCUGUUGAAGGGCCCCC